GCAGUUACCUCGGCAACCGCCGCGGCUUCCCGCGCCCAUUCCCCACCCUCGGCUACGGCGAGCGGCGAGCGGCAGAAAGAGACGGUGCCGGCGGGGGGGGGCGAAGAGCCCCCUUCUUUUCCCUGCAGAGCCGGGGCCAGCAAGGGUUCAAUAAUUAUUCAGAAUCUGAAGUGGAAGAAGCUGCAUAUCACCAGCUGCUGAACCACCUGAGGACUACACACCUAUAGUUGAAUCCCCACCAUCACUGGAUGAUUUACCUGGCGUGGAAGCACCAGCAUCUGCAGCCCAGCCAUAUGUAGUGGAAUUGCCAUGUCUGCAGACCACCUGGCUGUCAAGAAACCAACACAUUCUGAGUACCACUUCCUGCACAUUGUAUAGUCUGCAUCAGGGAAAGCUCACCUGAGAUCAAACUGUGGGCGAACUUCCAUGUUUCAAAGUCAAGAUGUACACCUCUGAAUCCACACAGGAUGGCACUAACACUAUUGCGACUGUGUUGUCAGCAGCAGAGAUUACAUUUGAAUCAUUGGAGAAUCCGGAAGCUUUUGGAGACCCCUAUCAAGUCGCCAUUAAUUAUGUGGAGGAACAUAAAAUUCUACAGAUAUUUCAGGAUAUCACGGAAAAACUGCUGAUCCAAAAGCCUGAUGACCCCUUGCAGUUCAUAUUGCAGGAGGUGCAGUCUAUGAUAAAUGCCAGGCAAGCAGAACCGGAGAGACUAUUGGAAUAGAACAAAGAUGUGUAGGUGUUUCUAGAAGAGGGCCUGCGUACUCCUUUUGGCCCCCAUUGACCUUGCUGUUGUGGUAUUGCCACAACAUGACUUCAGAACACCAUGUAGUCAUUGGCAAUAACUUGAAAAAGAUCUGCUUGUCUGUCUCUUGCCUGUUUUCUCUGUUUUGUAUGCUUGUGCUUCUCCUUGGGUUUGAAUCCAGCAGCCAAGUUUUGCUUUGGAAUCACAGACUGAGAUCUAAAUGUGCAUAGAUCUGUAUGCACAUAUGGCACAUCUUGAAGAGGCAGGUCUGCUGAAUUUCUUUGCAUAUAAAUGCAUAAAUCUUAUAUUUAGGCCACUCCAGAUUCUGCCUUUCUGUGCAGCUCAGACAAUGCAAGAACAAAAGCAAAUAGAGUCAAAAAGCAGCCCUGGACAACCCACCGCCUUCUUUUUAUAAGCAUUGGUGGCUUACUGUGUCCAAUUAUGCAGCAGCACCAAUGCCUAUUUAAUAUGCUGGUAGUUUGUGUCUGGGCUUUCACAGUGCUUCCAGAGCUCCUCUAAUGCAAAAAGCUGUCUCUCUGCCUCUUCCAAACACUGUAUACAGCUGUCUCACCCUUAAUCAUCACUGUUGGACACUGAUCACUCUGCUUUUUGAGGUUGCCCUGCCUAUGUCAUUGUAAGUACAGUGUAUAACCAGAACAGUAAAGCAACAGCUGCGCACACCCUUCAUGCUUUCAGAAGAUAUUGUCACUCAGGAAUGUGGGAGGUGAAUAAAAGCAAACAAAUCAAAAUCAAGCACUGGUAGCCCAGAGAAUUGAGUGUCAAGGUACAUUUCGCAAGCACAUUAUUUGAACUGUGUUUGAUUUUUGAAACACUUACAAUCCUUGUUUUCAUACUAUCCAAGUGUCUGUUUCUACCCUGUAAAAAUCUUUUUUAUUUCUUUUUCAUGUCUCUUGCCUGACAAUUAUUGUAAAUGUGCAACAGAGCAUACAGUUAUUUAGGCUUAAUAGAUUGUCUGUGUGCAGUAGAUGCCAGAAAGGAUUUUUAUGUCACUAUAGGAUUUUCUUUUUUUAGGCAAGUGCUCUAAUUUCCUGAUGAAUGGUGGUGUAUUCCCAAAUGACUGUCUCUGUGGUAUGAAGAGAGCAGCAUAAAAACAUCCAUCUAUCUAUUUUUUAAAAAAUAAUAAAUGAUGAUUGGGUUAUGAGAUUCUCCACAGCACAGCUUGGGCACCAAAAGUCUGGGAAUAACAGAGGGCAGGUAUUUGGCAUACAAAUUCCAUGUGUGAGAUGAGUUUCCUUUCUGAGUUUCUCAAAAAGGAUCUGUUAACUCAUGUGUUUGAAGACUGAAGGCAGGUAAGCACCCUUGUCAUUCAUAGGGGAGGGAUUUUUUCAAGAUUAUUGUGAGUCUAAAGAUGGUUCAAGAGUCAGAUUAAAUCUUCAUUGGUUUUAUAACAGUUUUAAAUGUAGAUUUAGGCAUAUAGGUCCCACUGCAGAAGUGAGAUGCUUUUGAAAUCCCUACUUAUCUCCAGCAACUGGAAAAGUCCGACACUUGGAAUCUGAGGUUGAUCUGCUUACAAAUUCUUAACCAAAAAUAUAUCAGGGUGAAAAACAAUGUAUAUGU
This is a long non-coding RNA of Oenanthe melanoleuca, 2323 nucleotides long. RefSeq lists it as uncharacterized. Lineage: Eukaryota; Metazoa; Chordata; Aves; Passeriformes; Muscicapidae. The transcript has 4 exons. The record is from RefSeq and is a predicted model, not a curated record.